Molecule: long non-coding RNA, 565 nt
Filed under: Homo sapiens (human)
Lineage: Eukaryota; Metazoa; Chordata; Mammalia; Primates; Hominidae
Description: long intergenic non-protein coding RNA 2955
Source: RNAcentral
ACACGCUUCCCCACUGAGGGAAGACCAUGUGACUAUACAACAGGAAGGUAGUUGUUUACAAGCCAGGAAGAGAGCCCUCACCAGAAACCAAAUUGGCUGGCGCCUUGAUCAUGGACUCCUGGGCUCCGGAACUGUAAGAAAAUUUGUGUUGUGGAAGCCACCCAGCCCAUGGUAUUUCGUUAUGGCAGCCUGAGCAGAGGUGGUAGCUAUGUGGACAGUUUUUGGACUUCUCUAUUGUUGCCCUUCAUCACUCAGCAGUGAAGAAUGAAAAUCAACAGAGCUUUCCCCAGCCUGCUGCUUAAGCAGCUGCUAGCAGGCUGAGGCUGCCCAGCCUCAUUAACCCAUUAGAUGCUGCGUUCGCCCGGGAGUCAUUCUUAAUGAGGCUGCUGCAGAGACGGCGUUUCACCAUGUUGCCCAGACUGGUCUCGAACUCCUGGCUUCAAGUGAUCCUCCUGCCUCAACCUCCCAAAGUGCUGGUAUUACAGAUGAGAAAACAGAAGCAAAGGCAGAAAGAUGCUACAUUGCCAGCUUUGAAGAUGGAGGGAAGAGGUCACAAACCAAGGAA